This 577-nucleotide long non-coding RNA is filed under the name Monodelphis domestica (gray short-tailed opossum). RNAcentral's name for it is "lncRNA (ENSMODG00000038763.1)". The record is from RNAcentral. Lineage: Eukaryota; Metazoa; Chordata; Mammalia; Didelphimorphia; Didelphidae.
GUGGCCAAUUGGUUAAUUUGUUUUGCUUAACUGUACUUUGUUAGAAGGAUGCAUUCUCCUGGGGUAAGGGAAUUCUUGAGAAGUGAUAGUGAUAUGAAAAAGCAUAUCAGUAGAAACCUUUUUUUGGAAAGAAGAUGAAAAGGCUAGAGAAGGGCUUCUCUGCCCUCAAGGUUAUUGGGGAUCUUAUUUUUAUUUCAUCAUGUCCUACUUUUUGUGACCGUAACUAUCCAGAGGGUUUUCUUGGGAAGUAUUUUGGAGUAUUUCGUCAUUUCCUUCUCCAGGGGAUCCAGAGGAUUAGUGAUCCCCAAGUCCUAAAAUUUGGAGCUGGAAGGGACCCCGGAGAUCAGAAUCUGGAGAUUAAUAUCUCUAGAGUAAAUAAAGAAGAGAGAGGUCGAAAGCUUCAUCAGAAUCCAGAUCAACGUCCACAAGUAUCUGGUGGUCGCCAUCCUCAGCAUCCAAGUGGCCACUGUCCCCAGGCACCUGGUCAUCAUCUCCAGCAACCAAAAUGUCCACCAACUAGAAGCAAUAUUUUUUUCCCAGUUCAUUUGCAGUAUCAACUAUACCCUUUGUUUAAGGU